Long non-coding RNA from Frieseomelitta varia, 431 nucleotides. RefSeq lists it as uncharacterized. The record is from RefSeq and is a predicted model, not a curated record. The transcript has 2 exons. NCBI's taxonomy places the organism in Eukaryota, Metazoa, Arthropoda, Insecta, Hymenoptera, Apidae.
GAAAGAAACAAGACAACGUCCUCCUCCUACCACUUGAACAUGAUUGGGUACUUCUCCUUCAUUGAUAGAAAUUUCAAGUUGUCCUUCACCAGCUGCACUGGCAUCAACUGUAAAAUUAACAAGUGCAUGUCCUAUGACAGCACUGGGCACGUCAGUAACUUGAAUUAAACUGCUGUUGUACACCUUAGCAACCAAUGGUCCUGCCGGUAGCUUUUGUCCAGCGAUGGUUACUUCUACAAGAUGACUGCCUACUUCUAUUGGGGUAAAUUCAACGCGAAAUUCUCCUGGCCUUCCUGAUUCUUCGUUAAUUUUUGCUGGUAUAUGUCUCUUGGAAGGUGCUAGAAAUGAACAUUACAUAUUUAUAAGAAAUUUUUACUUUACUCAAUUAUGGUGUACAAUUCCAAAUACAGAAAAUAUAAUAAUUAAUUCUG